AUGAUGAGUGAGGACAGCUAAUUCGAGACCCAAUAUUUGGUCCUAGUCGAAUAUGUGAUAAGGUUUCUGCUGUCCCAUCACACUAUGAGAGAGAGGUAGAAUAUGUUGAUUAUCAAGAAAAUCUACUGAGUUUUCGAUAUCUGAUAGGCUAACUGACCAUAAAAUAGUAACUUCUCGUCGAGUGCAUGCAUGUGUGUAAAGAAGAAAAAUCAAAGUAGAUAUUUCAGUUAGGUUAAGUGAUCAUACAGUCAUGGCAGAAAGUCUUAUGAAUACAUAGAUUUGAUAAUUUGUAAAUUUUUAUCAUAUAUAUUUAUAUUAAACACAUAUAAAAUUAAUCACAAACACGAAUGAUCUAGGGAAAUAAGUGACUCGAGGAUCAAGGCCCUGCUUUGCACUCAAUACAAUGCGAAAAUAUUACAAGCACAAGUAGCUUGGACACAUUUCCCUACCGUCCAUUUUUACCUUGGUUUGCCAUACAUGAUCUGCUGUCACUGACAAAAUUAACAGAAAUCUUGAUUGAUUUGCAUUUUUUUAAAGUAACAGAAAUCUUGAUUGAUUUGCAUUUUUUGUUCCUUUCCAGGGCUGAAACCUUUAAACUUUUACCUAAACUCACGCCCUUAAAUGUCAGAUUGACGGCAAUAUAUGUUAUACCAUGAGCUUUAAGGGACAAAAUCUCAGCAUAAUGGAAAUUAAGGAUUCCUACAUGGAAAAAAGUGCCCCACUUGUUCAUGGUAAGGUAGAAGACAAAGAAGAAAAUUAAAGAUGAUCAGGAUACAGGUCAGGAGUCAGCAUGUGAUAAUUGGUGUUUCGGUGAUUUCUAAGGUAUCAGAAAUCAUUCCAUGAUUUUUAGAAUUAAAAGGCACCUUUUCCUGCACUUUUUAAGGCAAUGACAACUUUUGGUGUGUAGAUACAAUGGAUGAAAUCACAUAUUGAAGCUGCCAUGCCAAUCAACUCAAGGCAAAGAUAUGGGUCAGCUAGUCAAGAUUUUGUUUCCCACAGUAAUAUAUCUAAAUUUCAAAUCCAAUUGCAGGCUAAAACGUACUAGUAGUUUGGUAUCUCACCUCAAUAUUGCGUAUGGAAUUGC
Molecule: long non-coding RNA, 1084 nt
Filed under: Durio zibethinus
Lineage: Eukaryota; Viridiplantae; Streptophyta; Magnoliopsida; Malvales; Malvaceae
Description: long non-coding RNA (DZIB_LNC002373)
Source: RNAcentral